GGGCGGCCGCCCCGGGCCCCCCAAAUCCAGGGGGCCCCUCUGACCAGGUAUGCGUAUAUACACAGCAAAAGGUCAGAUCGCAUCGUACGUUGCCAUGUUUUCAUCGUUGCGAUCACACAAAGAAGGUAGCCGACGAUCACACAAGCACGUUGUCAUGUUUUCAUCCUAGCGAUCCAUCCAUCCCUCUAGCUGAGAUACUGGGCUUGGCCCAAUGCGUGGGCGGCAUGACCAAUGCUGUCGAGGCCCUAGGUAGCGCACAACGCCCUCUCCUUUUUCCGUCGUGGAUGCCCAUCGCCCGCCGCCGACGCCAAACUUCAGGACCAAAUCUCGGCAAGCCAUCGCAGCCGAUGCUACGAUGGCGGCGAGGGAGGAGGAGCACACAGAGCAUAGAAGAUGGUCCGAAUGCUUCAAGAACAAUUUCUUUUAUCAAGGACAUGUAUAAGGAGGCACUGGAUGUGUGUGAAUGAUGGCCGAGGAUCUUCGCACUCGGAAGGUCAUCCUGAUCUCCGCUAGCUCCGGCGACCUCUACCCCUUUUUCGGCAAUAACAAGGCUUGGCGCGCUGCCUUCACCACUACUGUCUCCGAUGGCGAUGUAUGGCACCGGAGGCUUGGCCACCCUAGUGCUCAAUCUUUUACUUCCAUAGCACAUGAUUUUAUUCUACCUUGCAAUAAACCUCAUAUGCCGUGUGAUGCGUGUCAACUUGGACGCCAACCCCGUCUCCCUUUUACUU
Molecule: long non-coding RNA, 731 nt
Organism: Triticum aestivum (bread wheat)
Lineage: Eukaryota; Viridiplantae; Streptophyta; Magnoliopsida; Poales; Poaceae
Exons: 3
Source: RefSeq, a predicted model, not a curated record